This 492-nucleotide ribosomal RNA is filed under the name uncultured bacterium. RNAcentral describes it as "partial 16S ribosomal RNA". It matches the Rfam family "Bacterial small subunit ribosomal RNA", at positions 29 to 507 of the family's 1533-position model. The record is from RNAcentral.
AGUGAACGCUGGCGGUAUGCCUAACACAUGCAAGUCGAACGGCAGCACAGUAAGAGCUUGCUCCUACGGGUGGCGAGUGGCGGACGGGUGAGGAAUACAUCGGAAUCUACUUUUUCGUGGGGGAUAACGUAGGGAAACAUACGCUAAUACCUCAUACGACCUACGGGUGAAAGCAGGGGAUCUUCGGACCUUGCGCGAUUGAAUGAGCCGAUGUCGGAUUAGCUAGUUGGCGGGGUAAAGGCCCACCAAGGCGACGAUCCGUAGCUGGUCUGAGAGGAUGAUCAGCCACACUGGAACUGAGACACGGUCCAGACUCCUACGGGAGGCAGCAGUGGGGAAUAUUGGACAAUGGGCGCAAGCCUGAUCCAGCAAUGCCGCGUGGGUGAUGAAGGCCUUCGGGUUGUAAAGCCCUUUUGUUGGGAAAGAAAAGCAGCAUGUUAAUACCCCGCUGUUCUGACGGUACCCAAAGAAUAAGCACCGGCUAACUUCGUG